Long non-coding RNA from Chroicocephalus ridibundus (black-headed gull), 838 nucleotides. RefSeq lists it as uncharacterized. Lineage: Eukaryota; Metazoa; Chordata; Aves; Charadriiformes; Laridae. The transcript has 5 exons. The record is from RefSeq and is a predicted model, not a curated record.
CAUCCCCAGCUGCCGCCAUGACUUUGCCAAGGCCUUUAGACAACACAGCGACAUUGUAGACAUCGCAGCUUUACGACAAAGGGAACCGUGCAGCGUAGAAAUCAAAGUGCAGUCGUGCAAUUGUGUGACAACGAUGGAGGACUUGGACGAUGUUUCCUGCUGAGGAGGACAGACGACCAGCUGGUCAGAAAUCAAACCACGACCUCUGAUGCUGAAAGACACCCCUUUGGAUAUUCUCUGUGAUGUAUGCUCUACUGCAAGCAAACCAAACAAGGUCCAAAGAAUGGCUGAGUCACCUUUAUGAACUUACGACGGAGAAAGACAGCAACUGGGAAGGGAGCAGGACGCCGAUGUUUGAACCCUGAGCUAGCUCUGCCAAUGAAUUGCUGCAACAUCUUGCGUGCAAACCAGGAACCUUGGGGGUAAGGAACUGCUGGCUUGGAUUACCCAAACAAGACCAGACCAAGAGUGAAUACGGCGAUGGACAAAUACUCAGAGUACGGCUAACCUGCAUUAAAUCCAUUUCACAGCAAGAUGAGACACUUUGUACACUGCAGACACCCACUAUCCCAGAUUUUCUUUAGGAAAGUCAAGUUUUCACACUGGACUUGUGCUCCCCCGAGACCACCGGCAGCUGACUGAGUUCCAGGGAGAAGCUUGGGUGCGAAUUGGAAGCCAUGGCUGCUCCUCACACCUGCACUGGCCCCAACCGGCCAUCUUUCCCUUGCCCUCGGGCUCCCAGCACAUCCACAGCCACUGGCAAGAGGUCAACCGACGUGCCACAAAUUCAGGCUCCUGCUUCUUUAUCCCUGGCAACGUGUCUGCAUCCUUGAGCGCU